Molecule: ribosomal RNA, 484 nt
Filed under: uncultured bacterium
Lineage: Bacteria
Description: partial 16S ribosomal RNA
Rfam family: Bacterial small subunit ribosomal RNA
Source: RNAcentral
AUUGAACGCUGGCGGCAGGCCUAACACAUGCAAGUCGAGCGGAUGAAGGGAGCUUGCUCCUGGUUUCAGCGGCGGACGGGUGAGUAAUGCCUAGGAAUCUGCCUGGUAGUGGGGGAUAACGUCCGGAAACGGGCGCUAAUACCGCAUACGUCCUGAGGGAGAAAGUGGGGGAUCUUCGGACCUCACGCUCUCAGAUGAGCCUAGGUCGGAUUAGCUAGUUGGUGGGGUAAAGGCCUACCAAGGCGACGAUCCGUAACUGGUCUGAGAGGAUGAUCAGUCACACUGGAACUGAGACACGGUCCAGACUCCUACGGGAGGCAGCAGUGGGGAAUAUUGGGCAAUGGGCGAAAGCCUGAUCCAGCCAUGCCGCGUGUGUGAAGAAGGUCUUCGGAUUGUAAAGCACUUUAAGUUGGGAGGAAGGGCAGUAAGUUAAUACCUUGCUGUUUUGACGUUACCAACAGAAUAAGCACCGGCUAACUUCGUG